GUGCCUAACACAUGCAAGUCGAGCGAUGAGAUUGCUUUUUGAACGGAGUAGCGGCGGACGGAUGAGUGACACGUGCGCGACCUGCCUGACCUAGGGGAAUAGACUUCCGAAGGGAACAUUAAUACCGCACAAGAUUGCAACUUCGGCAUGACGCGACCCUUAUAGGAGCAAUCCGCUAUAAGAUGGGCCCACGCCGCAUUAACUAGCUGGUGAGGGAACGGCUCACCCAGGCGACGAUGCAUACCCGACCUGACAGGGAGAUCGGCCACAUUGGGACUGACACACAGCCCACACUCCUACCGAAGGCAGCAGUGGGGAAUAUUGCACGAUGGGUGAAACCCUGAUGCAUCAACGCCGCGCGAGUGAUGACGGACUUCUGGCUGAUAAGCUCUGUCUUUGGGGACGAUAAUGACGGGACCCAACGAGGAAGCCACGGCUAACUACAUGCCAUCACCCGCGGCAAUACGUAAGUGGCGAGCGUUGUCCGGAUUUACUGGACGGAAAGGGAGCGUAGGCGGAUUUUUAAGUGGGAUGUGAAAUACCCGGUCUCGACCCGGGCGCUGCAUUCCAUACUGGACAUCUAUACUGCAGGACGGGAAAGUGGAAUUCCUAUCGUAGCGGAGAAAUGCGUAGAGAGUAGGAAGAGCACCAAUGGCGAAGGUGAUUCUCUGGACUGUAACUGACGCUGAGGCUCGAAAGCGUGGGGAGCAAACAGGAUUAGAUACAGUGCUAGUCCUCACCGUAAACGAUGAAUAGUAGGUGUAGGGGUGUUCAUGACCUGCAUGUCGCCCAUAAAGCAUUAAGUAUUCCAAGUGGGGAGUCCGGUCGCAAGAUUAAAAGUCAAAGGAAUUGACGGGGCAACGCACAAGCAGCGGAGCAUGUGGUGUAAUUAGAAGCAACGCGAAGAACCUUCCCUAGACUUGACAUCUCGUACAUUACCGUUUAUCGCGGAAGUUCCUUAGGGGACAGGAAGCCAGGUGGUCCAUGGUGGUGUUCAGUUGGUGUCGUGAGAUGUUGGGUUAAGUCCCGCAACGAGCCCAACCCUUUUUAUUAGUUGCUUCCAUUUAGUUGACCAUUUUAAGGAGACUGCCCGGAUUAACCGGGAGGAAGGUGGGGAGGAGGUCAAUUCUUCAUGCCCUUUAUGUUUAGGGUUCCACACGUGUUCCAAUGGCCGGUCCAAGGAGAUGCAAUACCGUGAGGUGGAGCAAUAUUAUAAAACCGGUCUCAGUUCGGAUUGUAGUCUGAAACUCGCCUACAUGAAGCUGGAGUUACUAGUAAUCGCGAAUCAGAAUGUCGCGGUGAAUACGUUCCCGGGCCUUGUACACACCGCCCGUCACACCAUGAGAGUUGGCAAUACCCAAAGUCGGUGAUCUAACCCGCAAGGGAGGAAGCGUCCUAAGGUAGGGUCAGCGAUUGGG
This 1418-nucleotide ribosomal RNA is filed under the name uncultured bacterium. RNAcentral's name for it is "16S ribosomal RNA". It matches the Rfam family "Bacterial small subunit ribosomal RNA". The record is from RNAcentral.